Molecule: ribosomal RNA, 392 nt
Filed under: uncultured bacterium
Lineage: Bacteria
Description: partial 16S ribosomal RNA
Rfam family: Bacterial small subunit ribosomal RNA
Source: RNAcentral
GUACGGAGGAUCCGAGCGUUAUCCGGAUUUAUUGGGUUUAAAGGGUGCGCAGGCGGCCAUUUAAGUCAGCGGUUAAAUCGUGGGGCUCAACCCCAUUCUGCCGUUGAUACUGGGUGGCUUGAUUGCGGUCGAGGUUGGCGGAAUUCGUUGUGUAGCGGUGAAAUGCAUAGAUAUGACGAAGAACACCGAUUGCGUAGGCAGCUGACCAGACCGCAAAUGACGCUCAUGCACGAAAGUGCGGGGAUCGAACAGGAUUAGAUACCCUGGUAGUCCGCACAGUAAACGAUGAAUACUUGUUUUCGGCGAUAUAAUGUCGGAGGCAAAGCGAAAGCGAUAAGUAUUCCACCUGGGGAGUACGCCGGCAACGGUGAAACUCAAAUGAAUUGACGGGG